Heterocephalus glaber (naked mole-rat) is the source of this 1011-nucleotide non-coding RNA. NCBI's taxonomy places the organism in Eukaryota, Metazoa, Chordata, Mammalia, Rodentia, Bathyergidae. The record is from RefSeq and is a predicted model, not a curated record.
GAGCCAGUGAGGCAAAGCAUUAAGGGACCUGGAGAAGUCUUCCACACCGUCUUCCUGCAUAGUUGGCAGAGUCCUCACCAGAGCAUGCAUUCCUGCUCCUUCUGGAACUUCCCUCACCCUCAACCUUAAGGGCCCAUCCUGGAGGACAAAACCUGCACCUCUCACACCUGAACAGAAGACACGUGGGCAGCAACUGGGCCCCAGAGCUCACCCCUCUUACCCCAUCUCCUUACCCAGCUGCAUUGUCCUCAGCAGGGAUCAGAGCAUUAACAGCUCUAGGAGCUGAACUUGCAGGGAAAGUCCACCCUAGUGGACACAAUGCAAUUUCCUGGUGGGUGCAACAGUGUGUGAAGAGCCAAGGGGAGGUGGCAGCUGUCUGGUGAGCAGUGACUGAAGGGUCUUGCUCCACGCUCCACCCUACUCAAGUCCACCCCUUUGGCAAGAAGCUGCUGCAGGUUCCUGCCACCUUGAGGUGUCCACUUAUGUGAGUCUGUUCUGAUAACAGUACCAGGGAAAUUGCUCCUGAACAUGGCUAUGCAACUGAGGCUGAGGAAAAGUCCAGCAUGCAGUUGAAAUCUUAUCAGCAAAAUCACAAGAUUUUCAAAUUGAAGCAGAAACAUUGUGAUUCAGCAGAUACCACAGCAGCUGUCCAUCAAGGAAACACCUGGUAUGCACAAAAUAAUGACCAUGGUCUCAGGGAGGUUUUGUUUCAUGUUGAACCACUAAGGGACACCAAUUACUAUACUGGUAACAGUGAUAAACUACAAUAUCUUCAGGUUCCAGGCUGCUUAUGGUGAAAGCAAAGUCUAUUCCUCUCUCACUGCCACUGAACCGGGCUGGGAUCCCAGUGGCCCUCAUGAAUGCAUCAUAGAUAAGGAGUUUGGGAGCCUUCCCAGGGUUUUGCUUGUACCAGGCUAAACUGCUGCCAAUGCUCUGACUGGCCCUGAAGGUGAGGGUGGCUGUUUCUCCUGGAGAAAAUGCCAGGGAGGCUGGAGACUGGGUCAACAGGGC